This 253-nucleotide ribosomal RNA is filed under the name uncultured bacterium. RNAcentral describes it as "partial 16S ribosomal RNA". It matches the Rfam family "Bacterial small subunit ribosomal RNA", at positions 524 to 776 of the family's 1533-position model. The record is from RNAcentral.
UACGGGGGGGGCAAGCGUUGUUCGGAAUUACUGGGCGUAAGGGGCUCGUAGGCGGCCAACUAAGUCGGACGUGAAAUCCCUCGGCUUAACCGGGGAACUGCGUCCGAUACUGGAUGGCUUGAGUUCGGGAGAGGGAUGCGGAAUUCCAGGUGUAGCGGUGAAAUGCGUAGAUAUCUGGAGGAACACCGGUGGCGAAGGCGGCAUCCUGGACCGACACUGACGCUGAGGAGCGAAAGCCAGGGGAGCAAACGGG